CCUACGGGUUGCACCAGUGGGGAAUAUUGCACAAUGGGCGCAAGCCUGAUGCAGCCAUGCCGCGUGUGUGAAGAAGGCCUUCGGGUUGUAAAGCACUCUCAGCGGGGAGGAAGGCGGUGAGGUUAAUAACCUCAUCGAUUGACGUUACCCGCAGAAGAAGCACCGGCUAACUCCGUGCCAGCAGCCGCGGUAAUACGGAGGGUGCAAGCGUUAAUCGGAAUUACUGGGCGUAAAGCGCACGCAGGCGGUCUGUCAAGUCGGAUGUGAAAUCCCCGGGCUCAACCUGGGAACUGCAUUCGAAACUGGCAGGCUAGAGUCUUGUAGAGGGGGGUAGAAUUCCAGGUGUAGCGGUGAAAUGCGUAGAGAUCUGGAGGAAUACCGGUGGCGAAGGCGGCCCCCUGGACAAAGACUGACGCUCAGGUGCGAAAGCGUGGGGAGCAAACAGGAUUAGAU
This 453-nucleotide ribosomal RNA is filed under the name uncultured bacterium. Its description in RNAcentral is "bacterial SSU rRNA". It matches the Rfam family "Bacterial small subunit ribosomal RNA", at positions 338 to 783 of the family's 1533-position model. The record is from RNAcentral.